This 590-nucleotide ribosomal RNA is filed under the name uncultured bacterium. RNAcentral's name for it is "bacterial SSU rRNA". It matches the Rfam family "Bacterial small subunit ribosomal RNA", at positions 337 to 917 of the family's 1533-position model. The record is from RNAcentral.
UCCUACGGGAGGCAGCAGUAGGGAAUCUUCCGCAAUGGACGAAAGUCUGACGGAGCAACGCCGCGUGAGUGAUGAAGGCUUUCGGGUCGUAAAACUCUGUUGUUAGGGAAGAACAAGUGCUAGUUGAAUAAGCUGGCACCUUGACGGUACCUAACCAGAAAGCCACGGCUAACUACGUGCCAGCAGCCGCGGUAAUACGUAGGUGGCAAGCGUUAUCCGGAAUUAUUGGGCGUAAAGCGCGCGCAGGUAAUUUCUUAAGUCUGAUGUGAAAGCCCACGGCUCAACCGUGGAGGGUCAUUGGAAACUGGGAGACUUGAGUGCAGAAGAGGAAAGUGGAAUUCCAUGUGUAGCGGUGAAAUGCGUAGAGAUAUGGAGGAACACCAGUGGCGAAGGCGACUUUCUGGUCUGUAACUGACACUGAGGCGCGAAAGCGUGGGGAGCAAACAGGAUUAGAUACCCUGGUAGUCCACGCCGUAAACGAUGAGUGCUAAGUGUUAGAGGGUUUCCGCCCUUUAGUGCUGAAGUUAACGCAUUAAGCACUCCGCCUGGGGAGUACGGCCGCAAGGCUGAAACUCAAAGGAAUUGACGGA